RNAcentral lists this ribosomal RNA (508 nucleotides) under uncultured fungus. RNAcentral describes it as "SSU rRNA". It matches the Rfam family "Eukaryotic small subunit ribosomal RNA", at positions 569 to 1078 of the family's 1831-position model. RNAcentral also lists the same sequence under 1 other name. The record is from RNAcentral. Lineage: Eukaryota; Fungi.
AGCAGCCGCGGUAAUUCCAGCUCCAAUAGCGUAUAUUAAAGUUGUUGCAGUUAAAAAGCUCGUAGUUGAAUUUCGGGAUCAAUUUAUCGGUCGUGCCAAUGGUAUGAACUGGUACAAUUGGUUUCUCCCUUCUGACGAAGCAUGAUGUCAUUAAUUUGGUGUCGUGGGGAAUCAGGACUGUUACUUUGAAAAAAUUAGAGUGUUUAAAGCAAGCAUUAGCUUGAAUACAUUAGCAUGGAAUAAUGAAAUAGGACGUUUGAUCCUAUUUCGUUGGUUUCUAGGAUCGACGUAAUGAUUAAUAGGGAUAGUUGGGGGCAUUAGUAUUCAAUUGUCAGAGGUGAAAUUCUUGGAUUUAUUGAAGACUAACUACUGCGAAAGCAUUUGCCAAGGAUGUUUUCAUUAAUCAAGAACGAAAGUUAGGGGAUCGAAGACGAUCAGAUACCGUCGUAGUCUUAACCAUAAACUAUGCCGACUAGGGAUCGGAUGAUGUUAAUUUUUUAAUGACUCA